Molecule: ribosomal RNA, 250 nt
Filed under: uncultured bacterium
Lineage: Bacteria
Description: partial 16S ribosomal RNA
Rfam family: Bacterial small subunit ribosomal RNA
Source: RNAcentral
UCGAGGAUCUUCGGCAAUGGGCGCAAGCCUGACCGAGCGACGCCGCGUGUGCGAUGAAGGCCUUCGGGUUGUAAAGCACUGUCGAGGGGGAGAAAAGCCGUAAGGUUUGAUCGACCCCUGGAGGAAGCACGGGCUAAGUUUGUGCCAGCAGCCGCGGUAAGACGAACCGUGCGAACGUUGUUCGGAAUCACUGGGCUUAAAGGGCGCGUAGGCGGGCGAUCAAGUCGGAGGUGAAAGCCCAUGGCUCAAC